AGUGAACGCUGGCGGUAGGCCUAACACAUGCAAGUCGAACGGCAGCACAGUAAGAGCUUGCUCUUACGGGUGGCGAGUGGCGGACGGGUGAGGAAUACAUCGGAAUCUACUUUUUCGUGGGGGAUAACGUAGGGAAACUUACGCUAAUACCGCAUACGACCUACGGGUGAAAGCAGGGGAUCUUCGGACCUUGCGCGAUUGGAUGAGCCGAUGUCGGAUUAGCUAGUUGGCGGGGUAAAGGCCCACCAAGGCGACGAUCCGUAGCUGGUCUGAGAGGAUGAUCAGCCACACUGGAACUGAGACACGGUCCAGACUCCUACGGGAGGCAGCAGUGGGGAAUAUUGGACAAUGGGCGCAAGCCUGAUCCAGCCAUACCGCGUGGGUGAAGAAGGCCUUCGGGUUGUAAAGCCCUUUUGUUGGGAAAGAAAAGCAGCAGGUUAAUACCCCACUGUUCUGACGGUACCCAAAGAAUAAGCACCGGCUAACUUCGUG
Molecule: ribosomal RNA, 492 nt
Filed under: uncultured bacterium
Lineage: Bacteria
Description: partial 16S ribosomal RNA
Rfam family: Bacterial small subunit ribosomal RNA
Source: RNAcentral